This 468-nucleotide ribosomal RNA is filed under the name uncultured bacterium. RNAcentral's name for it is "partial 16S ribosomal RNA". It matches the Rfam family "Bacterial small subunit ribosomal RNA", at positions 28 to 507 of the family's 1533-position model. The record is from RNAcentral.
GACGAACGCUGGCGGCGUGCUUAACACAUGCAAGUCGAACGGAAGGGCCCUGCUUUUGUUGGGUGCUCGAGUGGCGAACGGGUGAGUAACACGUGAGUAACCUGCACUUGACUUUGGGGUAACUUCAGGGAAAUGGGGCUAAUACCGGAUAGGAGCUCCUGCUGCAUGGGGGGGGUUGGAAAGUUUCGGCGGUUGGGGAUGGACUCGCGGCUUAUGAGCUUGUUGGUGGGGUAGGGGCUUACCAAGGUUUUGACGGGUAGGCGGCCUGAGAGGGUGACCGGCCACAUGGGGACUGAGAUACGGCCCAGACUCCUACGGGAGGCAGCAGGGGGGAAUAUUGCACAAUGGGCGGAAGCCUGAGGUAGCAACCUCGCGUGCGGGAUGACGUCUUUCGGGUUGUAAACCGAUUUCGCCUGUGACGAAGCGUGAGUGACGGUAAUGGGUAAAGAAGCACCGGCUAACUACGUG